CCUACGGGUGGCAGCAGUGAGGAAUAUUGGUCAAUGGCCGAAACGCUGAACCAGCCAAGUCGCGUGAGGGAAGAAUGUCCUAUGGGUUUUAAACCUCUUUUGUCAGGGAGCAAAUGAACCCACGUGUGGGUGUUGGAGAGUAUCUGAAGAAAACGCAUCGGCUAACUCUGUGCCAGCAGCCGCGGUAAUCCGGAGUAUGCGAGCGUUAUCCGGAUUUACUGGGCGUAAAGGGCUCGUAGGCGGUAAUGCAAGUCAAGGGUGAAAUCCCCGCGCCCAACGUUGGAACUGCCUUUGAAACUGGCUAACUGGAGUGUGUGAGGGGCUAGUGGAAUUCCAGGUGUAGGAGUGAAAUCCGUAGAUAUCAGGAGGAACAUCAGUGGCGAAGGCGACUAUCUGGAACAUAACUGACGCUGAGGAGCGAAGGCGUGGGUAGCAAACAGGAUUAGAUACCCCUGUAGUC
This 460-nucleotide ribosomal RNA is filed under the name uncultured bacterium. RNAcentral's name for it is "partial 16S ribosomal RNA". It matches the Rfam family "Bacterial small subunit ribosomal RNA", at positions 338 to 795 of the family's 1533-position model. The record is from RNAcentral.